RNAcentral lists this unclassified non-coding RNA (378 nucleotides) under uncultured Pseudomonadota bacterium. RNAcentral describes it as "uncultured proteobacterium contains 16S-23S intergenic spacer region". The record is from RNAcentral. Lineage: Bacteria; Pseudomonadati; Pseudomonadota.
UCCGGUUUGUCACCGGCAGUCCCAUUAGAGUGCCCAACUGAAUGUAGCAACUAAUGGCAAGGGUUGCGCUCGUUGCGGGACUUAACCCAACAUCUCACGGCACGAGCUGACGACAGCCAUGCAGCACCUGUGUCUAGGUUCCCUUUCGGGCACUCCUGCAUUUCUGCAGGAUUCCUAGCAUGUCAAGGGUAGGUAAGGUUUUUCGCGUUGCAUCGAAUUAAACCACAUCAUCCACCGCUUGUGCGGGCCCCCGUCAAUUCCUUUGAGUUUCAACCUUGCGAUUGUACUUCCCAGGCGGGGCACUUCAUGCGUUAGCGCCGGUACUCCAAGGGUCGCUCCCCGGAGCACCUAGUGCCCAUCGUUUACGGCGUGGACUAC